RNAcentral lists this ribosomal RNA (406 nucleotides) under uncultured bacterium. RNAcentral's name for it is "partial 16S ribosomal RNA". It matches the Rfam family "Bacterial small subunit ribosomal RNA", at positions 30 to 526 of the family's 1533-position model. The record is from RNAcentral.
AUUGAACGCUGGCGGCAGGCCUAACACAUGCAAGUCGAACGAGUGGCGGACGGGUGCGUAAUGUCUGGGAAACUGCCUGAUGGAGGGGGAUAACUACUGGAAACGGUAGCUAAUAACGCAUACCAUCAGAUGUGCCCAGAUGGGAUUCGCUUGUGGGUGGGUUAAAGGCUCACCAAGGCGACGCUCCCUAGCUGGUCUGAGAGGAUGACCAGCCACACUGGAACUGAUACACGGUCCAUACUCCUGCGGUAGGCAGCCGUGGGGACUAUUGCACAAUGGGCGCAAGCCUGAUGCAGCCAUGCCGCGGGUAUGAAGAAGGCCUUCGGGUUGUAAAGUACUUUCAGCGGGGAGGCGUUACCCGCAGAAGAAGCACCGGCUAACUCCGUGCCAGCAGCCGCGGUAAUAC